Molecule: ribosomal RNA, 236 nt
Filed under: Acinetobacter baumannii
Lineage: Bacteria; Pseudomonadati; Pseudomonadota; Gammaproteobacteria; Moraxellales; Moraxellaceae
Description: partial 23S ribosomal RNA
Rfam family: Bacterial large subunit ribosomal RNA
Source: RNAcentral
UGUACCGGUUGUGACGCCAGUCGCAUCGCCGGGUAGCUAUGUUCGGAAGGGAUAACCGCUGAAAGCAUCUAAGCGGGAAGCCUACCUCAAGAUAAGAUUUCCCUAGGACUUUAUGUCCUCUAAAGAGCCGUUCGAGACUAGGACGUUGAUAGGUUGGAUGUGGAAGCAUAGUGAUAUGUGAAGCUGACCAAUACUAAUUGCUCGUGAGGCUUGACUAUACAACACCCAAGCAGUUG